UGGGGAAUUUUGGACAAUGGGCGAAAGCCUGAUCCAGCAAUGCCGCGUGUGUGAAGAAGGCCUUCGGGUUGUAAAGCACUUUUGUCCGGAAAGAAAUCCUUGGCUCUAAUACAGUCGGGGGAUGACGGUACCGGAAGAAUAAGCACCGGCUAACUACGUGCCAGCAGCCGCGGUAAUACGUAGGGUGCAAGCGUUAAUCGGAAUUACUGGGCGUAAGCGUGCGCAGGCGGUUUGCUAAGACCGAUGUGAAAUCCCCGGGCUCAACCUGGGAACUGCAUUGGUGACUGGCAGGCUAGAGUAUGGCAGAGGGGGGUAGAAUUCCACGUGUAGCAGUGAAAUGCGUAGAGAUGUGGAGGAAUACCGAUGGCGAAGGCAGCCCCCUGGGCCAAUACUGACGCUCAUGCACGAAAGCGUGGGGAGCAAACAGGAUUAGAUACCCUGGUAGUCCACGCCCUAAACGAUGUCAACUAGUUGUUGGGGAUUCAUUUCCUUAGUAACGUAGCUAACGCGUGAAGUUGACCGCCUGGGGAGUACGGUCGCAAGAUUAAAACUCAAAGGAAUUGACGGGGUCAUAGCUGUUUCCU
RNAcentral lists this ribosomal RNA (584 nucleotides) under uncultured bacterium. Its description in RNAcentral is "partial 16S ribosomal RNA". It matches the Rfam family "Bacterial small subunit ribosomal RNA", at positions 355 to 1375 of the family's 1533-position model. The record is from RNAcentral.